Oreochromis aureus is the source of this 1742-nucleotide long non-coding RNA. Lineage: Eukaryota; Metazoa; Chordata; Actinopteri; Cichliformes; Cichlidae. The record is from Ensembl.
CUCUGAGUAUGCCCACCCUGAGGUAAGCGCGUGCGUGAUACCAAUAAUAAAAAAAAAUCCAUCAUCAACAGAUCCUAUGAUUCAACAUGGAAACCGGGCAGAGAAAACGCUCGGCUUACUUCACCCCACUUGAAAUAGAUAUUCUGCUGGGUGUAUAUGGCGAGUACGAACACAUUUUUAGGAAGAAAGGCAACACGGCUGCAGCAGCAAAGGAGAGAGAACUGGCGUGGGAGAGAAUUGCAGCGCGGGUAAAUGCGUGCAAUCCCACGGGAACAAAAAGGACUUGGCAGCAGCUGAAAAUGAAAUAUAAAAACAUAGUUCAAACAGCUAACAGAAAGAAGGCAGAGGCUCGCAAAGUGGUUGAAGGGGCACCUUCAUCCAUGCUGAGGCAGAAGAGCUUGCCAAGAUUGCUGAUGGCCUUGUUGAGACUCCUACUUCAGCAGAAGCAUUUCCAACCCUUCCAUCUGAAGCAGACGAAGAUGAUGAUAAGGAUACAUUAUCCGCUGAGAUAGAUCCAGAUAGACCUAGUGAGAGCAAGGCCGAACAUUAUCAAGAGGAAGCUCCAUCAACUACCCCAGCACAUAUUAACAAAUUACCAGUUAAAGAAAUAUACAAAAUGCACCUCAUCCAAACAAUGACAAAAACUGACAAAGAAAUCACAUACUUGGAUCGUCAGAUUAGAAAGACAGAUCUGGAAAUUGAAUUACUGGAGCACCAGUUAGAGGAAAUAAAGAAGAACAAAUGAAAUGUGAAUAAGGAGUCCUUAUUUAUCCUGUGGGGGUGGGGAAACUAAUCUGAAAAGAGAUUGUAGCAAAGUUGUUUCUCUGACAGCUCUUGCAUCAUGAACAUCUUCAGGGUGAACAGGAUCCUCUUCCCCAGGUUCAUCCACUCAUAUGGCAGGGUGCUGCUAAGAGAGGCAAUAUUAUGGAGAACAACACAUGCCACAAUGAUGCCACAUGCUCUCUCUGAUGAUACCUUGAGUCUAUGCAGGCACUGGAACCAGGAUUUGAAUCAUGUCCACCCAGAGAAGGGGAAGUUUAAUUACAGCAACAACAAUUCCAAGUAUAAUCAUGAAGUAUAACUGAAGGAUUUGUACAUCAAUCGCCUGCUGUGCUACAGAAUUCCUCUUUAAUACUCCUUCUUAGUUUAUGAGAUUUCUUAUUUGGAAUAGUACAAAAUUUUGUAGCUGAUGUUUAAGAGAAAAAUAAAUCUUUCUAACUGGUGCACAGACAGUCAUGUGUCAUACAGGAAACCCCUGAUGGUAACAAAGCGAAUUGCCACACAAAGAGAUUGGUCUGAUGUGAAAAGCACAACCUCGCUGUGUUAUAUUUGAUUUGUAUAAGGUUGGAGUGUGUUGUUGGUAAUGGUGACAUUCAACAAGAUGCUCAUCUGGGAAUGAAAAAAAAUUCUAAUCAGGGUGUCAUGCACAGAGAUCUGAAAGAUCUUCCAGGGAUAGUGAUACUAUAUUCUGUAGAACUGAUGGGUCAGUAGGCAGCAAUUUUAUACCUGUUAAUCUCUAAGAUAGAGUUUAAUCUGCUCUGGUGCAGGUUAGGUUCAAGGCAGGCAUGUGCAAUAGUGCAAAUUUUGGUACUGAUCCGAUGCUAAGUAAUUACAUGGCCAGUACCAGUACUGAUAUUUUUAUUUUACAAAGGCAGGCAGCUUAUGUCUGGGGGAGCAGUGCGUCAUGACUUAUGAGAUUAAUCAUCAAUUUGCAAAUUCUUAACACAUUUUAAUGAGCACUA